CGGUGAACCNGGUGCUUGCACUUGGGGAUCAGUGGCGAACGGGUGAGUAACACGUGAGCAACCUGCCCCUGACUCUGGGAUAAGCGCUGGAAACGGCGUCUAAUACUGGAUACGAGACGUGAUCGCAUGGUCAAUGUCUGGAAAGAUUUUUCGGUUGGGGAUGGGCUCGCGGCCUAUCAGCUUGUUGGUGAGGUAAUGGCUCACCAAGGCGUCGACGGGUAGCCGGCCUGAGAGGGUGACCGGCCACACUGGGACUGAGACACGGCCCAGACUCCUACGGGAGGCAGCAGUGGGGAAUAUUGCACAAUGGGCGGAAGCCUGAUGCAGCAACGCCGCGUGAGGGACGACGGCCUUCGGGUUGUAAACCUCUUUUAGCAGGGAAGAAGCGAAAGUGACGGUACCUGCAGAAAAAGCGCCGGCUAACUACGUGCCAGCAGCCGCGGUAAUACGUAGGGCGCAAGCGUUAUCCGGAAUUAUUGGGCGUAAAGAGCUCGUAGGCGGUUUGUCGCGUCUGCUGUGAAAUCCGGAGGCUCAACCUCCGGCCUGCAGUGGGUACGGGCAGACUAGAGUGCGGUAGGGGAGAUUGGAAUUCCUGGUGUAGCGGUGGAAUGCGCAGAUAUCAGGAGGAACACCGAUGGCGAAGGCAGAUCUCUGGGCCGUAACUGACGCUGAGGAGCGAAAGGGUGGGGAGCAAACAGGCUUAGAUACCCUGGUAGUCCACCCCGUAAACGUUGGGAACUAGUUGUGGGGUCCAUUCCACGGAUUCCGUGACGCAGCUAACGCAUUAAGUUCCCCGCCUGGGGAGUACGGCCGCAAGGCUAAAACUCAAAGGAAUUGACGGGGACCCGCACAAGCGGCGGAGCAUGCGGAUUAAUUCGAUGCAACGCGAAGAACCUUACCAAGGCUUGACAUAUACGAGAACGGGCCAGAAAUGGUCAACUCUUUGGACACUCGUAAACAGGUGGUGCAUGGUUGUCGUCAGCUCGUGUCGUGAGAUGUUGGGUUAAGUCCCGCAACGAGCGCAACCCUCGUUCUAUGUUGCCAGCACGUAAUGGUGGGAACUCAUGGGAUACUGCCGGGGUCAACUCGGAGGAAGGUGGGGAUGACGUCAAAUCAUCAUGCCCCUUAUGUCUUGGGCUUCACGCAUGCUACAAUGGCCGGUACAAAGGGCUGCAAUACCGCGAGGUGGAGCGAAUCCCAAAAAGCCGGUCCCAGUUCGGAUUGAGGUCUGCAACUCGACCUCAUGAAGUCGGAGUCGCUAGUAAUCGCAGNUCAGC
This 1277-nucleotide ribosomal RNA is filed under the name Microbacterium sp. Its description in RNAcentral is "bacterial SSU rRNA". It matches the Rfam family "Bacterial small subunit ribosomal RNA", at positions 67 to 1353 of the family's 1533-position model. The record is from RNAcentral. Lineage: Bacteria; Bacillati; Actinomycetota; Actinomycetes; Micrococcales; Microbacteriaceae.